GCGCCCGUAGCUCAGGGGACAGAGCAGCCGCCUUCUAAGCGGUAGGUCGGGGGUUCGAAUCCUCCCGGGCGCGCCA
This 76-nucleotide transfer RNA is filed under the name Oceanithermus profundus. Its description in RNAcentral is "tRNA-Arg". It matches the Rfam family "tRNA". From Rfam's summary of the family: Transfer RNA (tRNA) molecules are approximately 80 nucleotides in length. Their secondary structure includes four short double-helical elements and three loops (D, anti-codon, and T loops). The record is from RNAcentral. RNAcentral also lists the same sequence under 4 other names. Lineage: Bacteria; Thermotogati; Deinococcota; Deinococci; Thermales; Thermaceae.